RNAcentral lists this ribosomal RNA (801 nucleotides) under uncultured Glomus. Its description in RNAcentral is "SSU rRNA". It matches the Rfam family "Eukaryotic small subunit ribosomal RNA", at positions 313 to 1115 of the family's 1831-position model. The record is from RNAcentral. Lineage: Eukaryota; Fungi; Glomeromycota; Glomeromycetes; Glomerales; Glomeraceae.
UAUCAACUUUCGAUGGUAGGAUAGAGGCCUACCAUGGUGGUAACGGGUAACGGGGUGUUAGGGCACGACACCGGAGAGGGAGCCUGAGAAACGGCUACCACAUCCAAGGAUGGCAGCAGGCGCGCAAAUUACCCAAUCCCGACACGGGGAGGUAGUGACAAUAAAUAACAAUACGGGGUUCUUUUGGAUUUCGUAAUUGGAAUGAGUACAAUUUAAAUCUCUUAACGAGGAACAAUUGGAGGGCAAGUCUGGUGCCAGCAGCCGCGGUAAUUCCAGCUCCAAUAGCGUAUAUUAAAGUUGUUGCAGUUAAAAAGCUCGUAGUUGAAUUUCGGGAUCAUCAGGUUGGUCGUGCCAUCGGUAUGUACUAGCUUUGGUGGUUCCUACCUCUUGAAGAACCGUAAUGUCAUUAACUUGGUGUUGCGGGGAAUCAGGACUGUUACUUUGAAAAAAUUAGAGUGUUUAAAGCAGGCAAACGCUUGAAUACAUUAGCAUGGAAUAAUGAAAUAGGACGUUUGAUCUUAUUUUGUUGGUUUCUAGGAUCGACGUAAUGAUUAAUAGGGAUAGUUGGGGGCAUUAGUAUUCAAUUGUCAGAGGUGAAAUUCUUGGAUUUAUUGAAGACUAACUACUGCGAAAGCAUUUGCCAAGGAUGUUUUCAUUAAUCAAGAACGAAAGUUAGGGGAUCGAAGACGAUCAGAUACCGUCGUAGUCUUAACCAUAAACUAUGCCGACUAGGGAUCGGAUGAUGUUAAUUUUUUAAUGACUCAUUCGGCGCCUUACGGGAAACCAAAGUGUUUGGGUUCA